Rattus norvegicus (Norway rat) is the source of this 10044-nucleotide non-coding RNA. Lineage: Eukaryota; Metazoa; Chordata; Mammalia; Rodentia; Muridae. The record is from RefSeq and is a predicted model, not a curated record.
GGGAGUUGAGGUCUGGUUCCUAUUUACCCAAGUUAGAGAUAGGGGCCUGCGGAAACAUGAAGAGGGUAAAUAGCUGUGUGAAGGAUGAAGAGCAUGUCCUGGAGGAACUGGAAACAGAAGGUGAGAGGCAGCUCAAGAGCCUCCUUCAACAUCAACUUGAUACCUCUGUCUCCAUUGAAGAAUGUGUCUCUAAAAAAAAGAGCUUUGCCCCUGGGACUAUGUACAAGCCCUUUGGGAAGGAAGUAGCCGGGACAAUGACUUUGUCCCAGUUCCAGACACUACAUGAAAAAGACCAGGAAACUGCUUCUCUCAGGGAACUAGGGCUCAAUGAAACAGAAAUAUUGAUCUGGAAAAGCCAUGUUUCAGGUGAAAAGAGGACAAAGCUGAGGGCAACUCCCGAAGCAAUACAGAAACGGCUUGAAGAUAUUAAAGAAAGGAUCUCGGAGCGCCAGCGCAUCCUCUGCCUGCCACAGAGGUUUUCAAAGAGCAAACAGCUGACCCGAAGAGAGAUGGAAAUUGAAAAGUCUUUAUUUCAGGGAACUGAUCGUCACUCCUUCCUUAAGGCUCUUUAUUACCAAGAUGAACCCCCAAAGAAGAACAAAGGUGAUCCCAUGAACAACCUGGAAAGUUUUUACCACGAGACUAUAAUGAAAAAACGUCUUGAAGAGUUCCAACUUUUGAGAGGUGAACCCUUUCCUUCCCACUCACUGGCCUCAGCUGCAUCAGUGAGUGAUAGUGGCACAGCUGAGAGCCCAUCACUCCUCCAGGACAAGGGAAAACAGGCAGCACAGGGUAAAGGCCCCAGUCUCCAUGUGGCAAAAGUUAUUGAUUUUCCACCUGAGCAAUGUUGGACUGGGCCUAAGAAGCUGAAGCAACCAAUAGAAUUUAUCCCAGAAGAUGAAAUCCAGAGAAAUCGUUUGUCAGAGGAGGAGAUCCGAAACAUUCCUAUGUUUUCUUCAUAUAAUCCAGGGGAACCAAACAAGGUAUAGGCCACAUUGAGGAAACGACCUGGGUUGUUUCCGCUUUCAUUUACCUCUACCUAACGCAGCAUUUUAAAAAUACUUUUGCUUACACCAAAGAUUCUGACACAGGUUCAGCAAGUGAUUUUGUCUGUCCUUGACCUUAACUGUCAUGUUCUGCAUACUAUUUAAGUAGUCUAUCUCCUAGCAUGUUCUGUGUGCCUUUUUUAGGUUCUAAAGUCCCCUUAGAACUUUGAAAAUAGCAUAAUGAGACUUACUCAUCUGCACUAGUAUCUCUGAAUUAGAUAGAGGAAACAUAACCACCCACUUUUUUAGUGAUUAAUCAUCCGGUUGUGGAUAGUGUUCACAGCACAAGUCCUUAAAGCAUUAAUUUUAGAAAACAGAAUGAAAAUAAUGAUAACAGCCCCUGAUUUAAAAACCAUGGAGAGAGGGCUGCUAAAGUACUUUGACUUUCUGAUAUGCUACUCCUGGUCCAAGAGCAGGUAGCUUGGCGUUCAUCUACUUUAGUCUGUGCUAUUACUGACUAGCUCAUGGAUAAAUUAGGAAAUAGCCAUAUUCUUAGCUAGGCAUGUUUACAAAGAUUUAAUAGCUUGUCAUAUUUGCUUAGUUUUAAAAAUUACUAGUGUAUUAUGGAUAUGCCUGAAGAAUUUCAUGCAUUCAUCAAUCCCAUUCUUCCUUCUAACUAGGUUUAUCCACUAUUUUGAAUUUGCUAGGUCUGUUCCUAUGGGUAUUUUUAUGUAUUUAUUAUCUAAAACUUUAUACAACUGUUCCAACUGAAUAACUAAAUUUACUUUGUUUUUCUUUAUGGUUUGAGAACAAUAUGCAUUUGGUAGAACCUCUACUCUGUAUUUUGAAUUUUUGUUUUUAUUUUUGUCAAGCUAGCAAUGUACAUUGUGCUGCUAUGGUACUUUAUUGAGAGUCUGAGCAGUGUAGUGACCUGCAGCUCAUAGUCAGCUACAUAUUGUGAGGGGAAAGUACUAAUACACUCCAUAGAUUAUGUAUAUUAAGUGUACUUCCAACUUAGGAUGUUUUCAAGUUAAAUAGGAUUUAUCAAGACCUGACUCCAUCUCUGUUUUUUUAAUAAAUUUAUUUAUUUAUUUAUUCAAUUUAUAUUCCAAUAUCAGCCCUCCUCCUCCCAAUACCCCCACAGCUCCUCCUCCCAUUCUCAUGCCCUUCUCCUCUGAGAAGGGGAAAGCCCUACCCUGGUACAUCAAGGACAUGACCCCACCUUAACUGCAGGUAUGUCUUAGCUAUUCAUAAAUAUUCGUAGAUAUUCAUAAAUAUCUGUUUUAUACAUUUUGAAACUAUAUAGAUAAUGUCAUACUUUACAUAUUUUUCUUACUGUUUUAGCUCAAUGUACCCAAUAUAUAGAAUUCCUUGUAUCAUUAGAAAUAAAAUGUUUAAAUAGAACAUAUUUCUAUAAUAGAAUACUAAUUCGCUUCUCUAUUUUCUUGAUUUGUUUCCUCUCAUUAUUUUACUACUACAGAUAAAGUUGUGACAUUGUUAUGCAUAUCUUUUUGUCACCACUGGAGACUAAACCUAGAACCUUGUGAAUACUAGGCAAACUUUACUGUUGAACUAUAUCCAUAGACUUCUUUGUCAUGUUUUAUGUUGAGACAGGAUUCCACUAAUUGUAGGAGCUAAUGCUAAACUCAUUCUGUAGCCAACUAAGCAAGAACUUGUAAUCUUCCUGCCUUGGCUUCAGAAAUAAUUGAUAUUCUAAGCAUAAAUCACUAGACCUGGCUUAUAUAAAUCUCUUUCUGCCCGUGUACCAAACAUUCCUCCUAGACAGUAUUUUUCAAACUUAAGUCACAAUUCAUAGUUCACACCAGUAUGGUUUUAUUUUUAAGGAAAUGGAUAGAAGAAUAGAAUAGAAUAGUGUAGAGUAGAAUAGCAGGUGAAAGUGUAUCCCACACAAUUAUUUCACACAGUUAAUCACUUUCUUAAAAUAAAUUUUGUGCAUGCAUAUAUGUUAGGAUGAAGUAGUAGUAUAUGUAGGCUACAGUUUUUAAUGCAGUUUUUCCGGUAGGUCUCAGACAAAAUAUUGGGAAAUAUAUCACUCUCUUGUGAUGUUUUCAUAUCUUAAUAUUCAUCAAAAUCAUGUGAAGACAUUAUUAAAACAUAGAUUGCUGGACUUCCCACAAGAUUUUUGACUUAGUAGAUCUGGAAAGUGUGAAUGUUUGCAUUCCAACAUGUUCCCAGGAAACGCUGACACUUGGUCCAAGAGUGGAAUUUUUAGACUUGACUUUCUAGGUUGCCUGUCUAGGAAUGAAAUUACCAUGGUAGAGGCUGUCCGUGUCUUCCUCCACCAGCAGCACUAGUACCAUUACUCUUCCCCUCCUCUUCGUCCUUUCUUUUUCUUUUCUUUCACUUUCUUUUCUUUUGAGACAAAGUUUCUCUGUGUCACCCUGACUGUUCUGUAGACUGGGCUAGCCUCAAACUCACAGAGAGCUACCUGCCUCUGCCUCCCUAGUGCUGGGAUAAAGGUAUGCACUGCUACUGCCUGGCUAACGAAUAUUUCAGUGAUUCCCCUCACAUCUUAACCAAGAUUUUAUAUUAGACUUUUAAUUUUACCUAAUAGUUUAGAAAGGUAAUUUAUUUUUAUUUUUGCAAAUUCCUCAUUUCCAGUAAAGAUAGACUAUGUAUUUUUACAUUUAUUGGCCCUUUUCCUACCCUCUGUGAGCUAGCUUUCUGUUUCUUUACCCAUCAUUUGAUAUUCCUGCCUUCUGUACUUAUUUAUAAGGAUUAUUUUUCAUUUUUUAAAGAUUUAUAUUUAUUUUUAAUUGUGUGUGUGUGAGCGAGAGGAAUGUGUAAAAGGGGGAAAGAGAGAAGGGGAAGGAGGGUGUAAGAACGAGAACAAAGAGUGAUUUGGACUAUUAAUUUCUGAGUGUCUUUUUAACUUAAUGGCAGACUUCUAGCCAUACAUCCAGGAAUCUAAGAGAACAUUAAGCAAGAUGAAUAUCAAAAAUUACACGUAAGCAUAAUAUAGUCAAACUGCAGAAAUACAAGACAAGGAAAAAGGGAAUACUUUAUAUAGGAUCAAAGAGAAUUGCAUCAGACUUACCAAAAGCAAGAAAAAAAUAUAAUGAAAUAUUCAUGUUUAGAGAGAAAAACUCCUACCCACAUAGAAGUUUAUGCAGAAAACUUACCCUUUCACACCAGUUGUAGCAAAGUAACUUUUCUCAGACAAACAAGAAUGUAAAGAAUUUGUCACAAAGUUAUACUCCAAAGUCUAAGAAAAUUAGACAGAUUAAUAAUUCAGAUCUAUGUAAAGGAAGAACACAGGAAAAAGAAUACACAAAGAUAAGAUAAAAUGAUUUUCUCAUUCUCUAAAACAGAAGCAGAAAGGACACAUUUUAUGAGACAAGACUUAGCUUAUUAUAGAAACCAGUUAAAAAUAUUACAAUAAAAGAAAAUUGCAACCUAUCUUAUGCAUAAAGCAAAAAUCCUAAACCAGAACAUUUUUAAUGUUAUAAUGAAAUUCAUUAUUAUUAUAUAAUUAAUAUAUGCUAAUGAAAGCAUUAAUGUGUUCUUUUUAGUGUUUUUUUCAAAAGAUUUAUUUAUUUCAUAUAUGUGAGUAUACUGUACCUGUCUUCAGACACACCAGAAGAGGGCAUCAGAUCCUAUGAGAUGGCAUUAGAUGGUUGUGAGCCACCAUGUGAUUGCUGGGAUUUGAAAUCCGGACCUCUGGAAGAGCAGUCAGUGCUCUUAACCACUGAGCCAUCUCUCCAGCCCUUUUUUUAGAAUUAUUUAUUUAUUUUAUGUAUAUAAGUACACUGUAGCUGUCCUUAGACAUACCAGAAGAGGGCAUCAGAUCCCUUUACAGAUGGUCGUGAGCCACCAUGUGGCUAGGAUUUGAACUCAGGACCUCUGGAAGAGCAGUCAAUAAUCUUAACCACUGAGUCAUCUCUCCAGCCCUAGUGUUUUUAUUUAACUCAAAAUAUUAGAAAAUAAAAUUCAAUAAUGUAUAGAAAUAAUUACGUAUCAUUAUCAACAGACAUCCAAAGCUGGUUCAACAUUUGGAAAUCAAAUAUAGUCUACCAUAUCAAAUAGACUAAAUAAGAAAAAUCAUGUGUUUCAUGUGAUAUAGAAAAGCAUUUGCAAAAUGCCUUAACAUUCAUUCAUGUUUUAAAACUUAGUGAACUCAACGCCCUGGGUUCGGUCCCCAGCUCCGAAAAAAAGAACCAAAAAAAAAAAAAAACAAAAAAAAAACUUAGUGAACUAUGAAAAGAGGAGAAUAUCCUUAAGUUAGUGAAGAAUAGCUACAAUGCCGUGCAUCAUGUCUGAUAGAUAGUAAAGUAGAUAUUUCCCCCUUUGGUUCAGAACAAAAUAAGAAUGUCCUCUUUACCCACUCCUUUUUGAGAGCAUGCUGGAAGUGUUGUCCAGUGUAUUAAGACAAGGAAAGGAAAUUGAAAGUUCAUGGAUUAGGAAGAGAAAAAACAAUAAUACUGUUCACAGGUAAUUUUGUCAAAAAUCCCAAAUAAUUAGCCAGAAAUCUAGCAAACUAGAACCAUUAAGUAAGAAUAGUUUGGAUCAUGUAAGCCUUCUCUAUAAAAAGUCAGGUUUCUACCUCUAUAUAGGAAAUAAAGAAUUAAAGUUUUUAGUUUAAAAUAUUUAGUAUUGCAAAAGAAAAAUAAAAUAUUUAGAUGUAAUUUUAUGAAAACAUAUGGGAUCUACAUGCUAGGAAACUGAAAAUAAUGAAAAAAAGAAAAAUGGUAAAUUCAGAAAUAAUUUGGAUGCAUAGAUUAAAAUUUGGAUAUUGUUAAAAUACCAUGCUUUUCCAAGUUGGUCUGUGGAGUCCACACAACCCCCCCCCCAAAUAUUGGCAAGCUAAUUGUAUAUUAAGAAACAGAUUCUAAGUUUAUAUGGAAAGAGAAAAGUUACAGAAUAUCCAACAAAUACUGAAGAACAACAUUACAACUGAUACUACCUACCUUCAAGACUUAACUAUAACCUAAUAUCUUAUGGCAUUGGUGGAGAAAAGCAAGUGGGUCAGUGGAGCAAAUCAGAAGCCUCAGAAUUAGGUCCAUACACAUAUACUCAAUUGAACUUUGACAAAGAUAAUUCAAUGCAGAAAUGAUAGUCUUUUCUACAAAUGGUUCAAGAACAACUGGAGAUCUACAUUCAAAACUCGGCACACACCUUUCCUCUAUUAUAAAAUCUCAUUGAAAGUGUGCCAGAGAGUCAUGGACAAAACAAUAACCCAAAACAUUUAGAAGAAAAUGGGGAAAGAAAUCUAAGUGGCCUUGUUUUUGAUGAUGUGCUUUUUACCCAAAGCACAAUUUAGAUAAAAAAAAUUGAUAAAUUAUAAUUUGUUCAAAUUACAAACUUUUCUGAGAGAUAUUUUAAACUAUACAAAAAGACAUACCAUAGAUUAGAAAAAUAUAUUUCAAAGCACACCAAAUGUAACAAAGCAUUGUACUUAGACUACGCAAAGAACUCCUAAAACUUGACAAUACUGAAAUGAACAGCUCAAUUUAAAAAGUGGUCAAGAGGUAAGACUAUAUGGCUCAUCAGAGAAGAAGCCUGUGAAUUCAAUCUUACCAUGUUACCAAGGUACUGUAACAUGAAAUGAUGAGAUACAAUUAAACUCCCAGUUAAAUAACUAAAACUCAUAAAACUGACAAUACCAAAAGCUUUUGAUGAUUUAGAGCAACAGGAAUAUGUAAUCAUUGCUGGAGGGAGUAUAAAAUAGGACAACCUCUUUAGAACCCAGUUUGAAUGACUCUUAAACAAAGCAUAACAUUGUUUUCCCGUAUGAUAUAGAAUUUACUGUUAUUUUUCAACUGUAUUAAAAACCUGCAUGCAAGCAUGCAUGCAUGCAUGCAUACAUACAUACAUACAUACACACACACAUACAUAUAUACAUAUAUACAUAUAUAGAUACGGAAUGUGGAUGUUCAUAAUGGCUUUAUUCAUAAUUGCCAAAGUAGAACUAAUCAAAGUGUCCUCCAAUUAGAUGAAUUGGGCAAAUGAAUGUAAUGAAAUAUAAUUUAACAACAAAAUGAUUUAAGGUAUCAAGCCAUAUAAAGACAUAUACAAACUUUAGAUGCAUAAUCGUAAACAAAAGAUGCUACUAUGAAAAUAAAACAUUCUAUUAUUUCAUUCUGCAAUAUUCUAAGAAACUCAGAAUGAUAGGUAUCAAAAUGAUAGUUGAUUAACAAAAGUAUAAGAGCAAAGAGAGAAUAAGUGAAGCAUAGGGCAUUUUUAGGAGAAUAAAAUUAUUCUGUGUGAUACUGAAAUACUGAAGGCUAGCUAUACGUUUGACAAAAUAUAUAUAACUACAUAGUAUAAAGAGAUUCUUAAUGUAUACAAAUAUUUAAAAAUAAUUUAAGAUGUCAGUGACUUUUAGGAAAGAAUAAAGAUUAUAAAAGGAGAAUCUUGUUGUGUUACAGUUAUAUAUGAUAAUCUCACUAAAGGAAUAGGAGAAACAGUACUGACCUAAGUGGCUUUGGAAAUGUGUAAUCUAUAAGACUAACAGCAAAUGGGAGGUGCAUAUAAGGGCCAUGCCCUGGUUGCUAAGGCCCUGUGUCCUGGUUAACAGUAUUGAUACUGCAUCAUUAAGUAAAUGUUGGAAUUUGUAGAUAAAUAAAACGGAGGAAAUUAAAAUGACCCAUGUGGUAGUAGCUUAACUGUGAAUUCAUAUUUAACUUAAUACAGACACAGAUAAUUCACAUGUAGAAGUAUUUAUCUGGGUUUAUACACAGUUUAAUAUGGACAUGUUUUUCCUCUUUGAGUUGAGCAAGCCCCAAUGAAACAAAUCCUGUCUUGCUCAGGAUGGAUUACUUCUAAUACCAUUCUCUACUAAAUGUAACAAUAGAGUUUUGGCAAAAUAAAUGGCUGCACCUAUUACUCAGGCAGGAAAUAUACAAGAUUAUUAGCCUUGUACAUCUUUCUCUAUGAAAAGUAAAAUAACAGCAUAAAACACAGGGACUGAAGGAGAAUUCCAGUAAUUGAAGCUAGAACUAUCUCUGCAAUAAACUAAACAAAUUAACUUUGAACAGUGAUUUAAAAUAUAGAAUAUCCGUCUGUGUGCAGGUGCUAAGAAUUAAAAAAUUGAGAAAGUAAAGAAGAAAUAAAUCUUAGAACAUAAUUCCUUGAUGCUUAGUUGUAAGCAGCUUGUGUUGAUUUGUUUCCCAAGAGUACAAUAUGGAAAGGAAGAUGUAACUUUAUUUUUUCAACAUCUAUUUUUAAUGAUGGUACUUAAAUGCUUUAACUUCCCUUUUAGCCCACCACCCACCAGAGGUAGUGGAAAAAGAAAGGAUAUAGGGGAAGUGGACCUGUUUAGAAAUGUUCUUUGGAGCAAAUCCUAUCUGUAUUGUCAGGAAAUUAGCAGUUCAGUUCACAGGAGUCAGCAGCUGCAGCUCCAACCAUUUACAAACACUUCAUGUUUAUAAUAGCAGUUUGGUAGAAUUAGGAUAGCAAAUAUGAAUCAGCAGCCUUGGCUCUACCUAGCAGAGAAAGCCGGGCCUCAACCUUGUUCAAGUCAGCAGGUGGGACCAGCAGGAAUGCCAGAAGUUCUCAGCUGUGCAUCUCUCAUUGAAGUGAAGAUCAGUGAAGACUAGGGACCAACAACCUUUGCACAGCUAGUUGUACCAGCAAGCCAAGCUCAGUCCCUGUCACUGUCCCAGAGUCCUAUUUAUAUCCUCCAAACAUCACAUGUCCUCAACGGAUCUUGCCUCAGCAUGUGCACCUGUCAUAGCUGACAUCACUCUGCCAAUCAUCCUGAGUCCACUGAAGUGGCAAGAAACUGCAGCAGACCACCAGAAGUUUUUUGGUGUGUUUCUUUCUAUCGAGUCCCAACAAAUAGAGCUCAACUACACAGUGUAAGGCAAACCAAUACAUGCCUGUUGUUAGCAAAGAAUCCUUUAUCACAUGUCCUUUCACAUGCUUGCUUUAUCAGAACAUCCUUCCUCCUGUGUCUGCUUCCACCAAAUGUUCCUUCAUGAGUCUGUCUUAGUCUUUCACCUGUGUUGACUUCAGGAAAACACUCCUUCAUGUGUUUGUCCCAGCAAAACAUUAUCCAACACAACUAAUUUUCCAAAGAACUCUUAACUUUUCACAUCAGGAAGACAAGCAAGUAAUGGAGAAAUCUGACCAACACUACCUCAGUCAGGUAAUAAAAGUCAAUAUCACCAGUCAUAAAUCAAUGAUGUUAGUAUUUCUGCUGAUACAGUGUGACCAAAACUGAACUCUUCUGGUAUAGUUUUCUUCUCAAUAAUUCAUUGUUGCAGUCUAACGUUAAAAAAAAUCAACAGAAAAAUUCUAGUAUUGAUGUAUCCUAUUAAAAUAUCUGACCAGCAUUCCUAAAGUUUUCAAGAUUGUGAAAAAUUAGAACAAUCUAAAAAAUUGUCAAAAGGAGCUUAAAGUUACAUGAUAACUGAAAGAAAUACAGUAGCCUAAAUGAUGUCUUAAGCAGAAAAAUAACAUUAGGUAGCAACUUAGAAAAUCUAAAUAAACAAUGGACUUCUGUUAAUAAUAAUGUAACAGUGAUUUAUUUAUUAAAACUAAUAUACUAAUAUAAGAUCAAAAAGUCAGAAACUAGAUAUGGAACAUAAAGACAUGUUAGUCUCCAAUUUUCUAUAAAUCUAAAAUUGUUCCAAAAGGUAAAGUCAAAUUUGCAAAGCUUUUUAAAGGGAUGGCUACAAAUGAAUUUUGGGCAUUGGGUGUACUCUUAAGUCUCACAUGCUUUUGUGUAGUUAAGUGUUAGAGCUAAACACUACUUGUUAGUAACUUUAAUAAUCUUUAAUGUAGUUUUUCAUCUAUUUCAGUGACUUUAUCAGUCUUUUCCUGUCAUCUUUUUUGUUCUAAUGGGAAUUCUUUUCUUUUUUGUAAAGUUACUUUUUAAUUUAAGCUAAAAAUAUUUAAUUAUUUUUUUUUGCUCUCCCAUUCUUUUUGUAUUAUGUUUAGAGUCCAUUGCCUUUUCCUUCCUAAGAAAAAUGUGCUAUAUCUGAAGAACCUUAGUCCUCGGGUGAAAGAAAGAGACCUUAUCUCAUUAUUCGCUCGAUUCCAGGAGAAAAAAGGACCACUCAUUCAGUUCCAAAUGAUGACUGGACGCAUGAGG